RNAcentral lists this ribosomal RNA (631 nucleotides) under uncultured bacterium. Its description in RNAcentral is "bacterial SSU rRNA". It matches the Rfam family "Bacterial small subunit ribosomal RNA", at positions 10 to 698 of the family's 1533-position model. The record is from RNAcentral.
AGUUUGAUCAUGGCUCAGAACGAACGCUGGCGGCAGGCUUAACACAUGCAAGUCGAACGCCUUCGGGGGAGUGGCAGACGGGUGAGUAACGCGUGGGAAUCUACCCAGUUCUACGGAACAACAGUUGGAAACGACUGCUAAUACCGUAUACGCCCUACGGGGGAAAGAUUUAUCGGAAUUGGAUGAGCCCGCGUAAGAUUAGCUAGUUGGUGGGGUAAUGGCCUACCAAACGAUCUUUAGCUGGUCUGAGAGGAUGAUCAGCCACACUGGGGACUGAGACACGGCCCAGACUCUACGGGAGGCAGCAGUGGGGAAUAUUGGACAAUGGGCGCAAGCCUGAUCCAGCCAUGCCGCGUGAGUGAUGAAGGCCUUAGGGUUGUAAAGCUCUUUCAGUAGGGAAGAUAAUGACGGUACCUACAGAAGAAGCCCCGGCUAACUUCGUGCCAGCAGCCGCGGUAAUACGAAGGGGGCUAGCGUUGUUCGGAUUUACUGGGCGUAAAGCGCACGUAGGCGGUUUGUUAAGUCAGAGGUGAAAUCCCGGAGUCAACUCCAACUGCUUUUGAUACUGGCAAGCUAGAGUCCGGAAGAGGUAAGUGGAACUCCUAGUGUAGAGGUGGAAUUCGUAGAUAUU